Molecule: non-coding RNA, 579 nt
Organism: Theobroma cacao (cacao)
Lineage: Eukaryota; Viridiplantae; Streptophyta; Magnoliopsida; Malvales; Malvaceae
Source: RefSeq, a predicted model, not a curated record
GAAAAAUGGAGCAGUAUUCACUCUUACUUUUUCAUCUUUUAUUUGAUUCCUAUUUGCGUUAUUAUAAAGCAGCUUUAAGGGAAGUGACCCCGAAAGAAACAUAAUGACUUGCAUUGAUAUGCCCACUUUUAAUUAAAUUAUUAAUUCACAUUUGCAUUACUGUGAAACAACUUCAAGGAAAGUGGAUUUACAAUUUGUGGGACGACUUUGCUUUGACUUGCCAGCUUUUAAUUCUUUUUAGCUUCACAAUUCAUUGAUUCUCUUCUCACGGAAAUCAUCUGCUUGUUGCUGCUAUAUUUCUUCAGUGUGCUUGCUUCCUAAAUUUAACAAAGACUUUGAAAAGAUACAAGUAUCAUUUCACUGCCUCACUGAACAAGAGAUCAUCUGCUUGCUGCUGUUAUAUUUCUUGGCUGUUCUUGUUUCCCAAAUUUAAUAAAUACCUUCUGAGGAUACUAUUAUCAGCUAACAAUCUCCCUGAACCAGAAAAAAGUUUGGGAGGAGAUCUGCUUGUUGCUGUUUUCUUGACAAAUUUUGAAGGAGAUCUUAGUUUCUUGCUUUCACAAACUUAAGACCUUCUAC